UACGUAGGGUGCGAGCGUUAAUCGGAAUUACUGGGCGUAAAGCGUGCGCAGGCGGUUCGUUAUGUCCGUUGUGAAAUCCCCGGGCUCAACCCGGGAACUGCGUCCGAUACUGGAAGGCUUGAAUCCGGGAGAGGGAUGCGGAAUUCCAGGUGUAGCGGUGAAAUGCGUAGAUAUCUGGAGGAACACCGGUGGCGAAGGCGGCAUCCUGGACCGGCAUUGACGCUGAGGCGCGAAAGCCAGGGGAGCAAACGGG
RNAcentral lists this ribosomal RNA (253 nucleotides) under uncultured bacterium. Its description in RNAcentral is "partial 16S ribosomal RNA". It matches the Rfam family "Bacterial small subunit ribosomal RNA", at positions 524 to 776 of the family's 1533-position model. The record is from RNAcentral.